This 68-nucleotide transfer RNA is filed under the name Brachytarsina amboinensis. RNAcentral's name for it is "tRNA-Glu". The record is from RNAcentral. Lineage: Eukaryota; Metazoa; Arthropoda; Insecta; Diptera; Streblidae.
AUUUAUAUAGUUUAAUAAAACAUUAUAUUUUCAAUAUAAUAUUAAUAUUUAAAAUAUAUUUAUAAAUA